ACAAACUUAGCUCAGUUGGUAGAGCAUCUGACUAACACUCAGAACGUCACGGGUUCAACUCCCGUAGUUGACA
Molecule: transfer RNA, 73 nt
Filed under: Patescibacteria group bacterium
Lineage: Bacteria
Description: tRNA-Val
Rfam family: tRNA
About the family: Transfer RNA (tRNA) molecules are approximately 80 nucleotides in length. Their secondary structure includes four short double-helical elements and three loops (D, anti-codon, and T loops).
Source: RNAcentral